AAUCAUAUGGCAUGGCAUUGGAGGUAAAACCUUGUAGUGAAAGCAACAUCUUCCUGCAAAAUGAGAUAAGUCAAUUGACUAGGACAUUCAAAAUAAGUACUCAGGGGCUAAGGUCACGGGUACUUACAGGCUUCAACGAGUGUGAGGCACUGAAUUCUCGCACAAUAGUGGGGAUUUCGCCCACAUUCUUGAACAUUCUCUUGAACCUCACCAUGACUUCAUCUGUGUUGAUUUCAUCACAAGAGAAUCUGGAUGGAUCAUUGAGGCCGGUAUACUCAUAGCCGUAAUGGCACUGCUGCUGUAGAGGUUGGAUGCGGCACUUCAUAAAGCUAAAGGCCACUCCUACUCCAGUAAGGCCUUAUUGUUUCAGGUGGGCGAUUCUACCCAUCAAAUCGGGCAUAUUGCAUGCAAUCGCCAUGCUUUAGCUCAUCAAGCCACCCAUCAAAUCGGGCAAUUGCAGGCAAUCGCCAUGCUUUGGCUCAUCAAGCCACCGAAUGUUCCAGGAGGAAUGGUGCCCUGUCAGCUUGGGGAGUUUUGGAUCAUGGUUGCCAAUGUAGCAC
RNAcentral lists this long non-coding RNA (560 nucleotides) under Setaria italica (foxtail millet). RNAcentral describes it as "long non-coding RNA (SITA_LNC003086)". The record is from RNAcentral. Lineage: Eukaryota; Viridiplantae; Streptophyta; Magnoliopsida; Poales; Poaceae.